RNAcentral lists this long non-coding RNA (1561 nucleotides) under Numida meleagris (helmeted guineafowl). Its description in RNAcentral is "lncRNA (ENSNMEG00000017181.1)". The record is from RNAcentral. Lineage: Eukaryota; Metazoa; Chordata; Aves; Galliformes; Numididae.
AUGAAAGAGCUGUCAGGCUGUUCACCACCAAUCCAGAAGCAACAGAAAGGUGUCAAACAUACACUGAUAGUUCAUCUCUGGAAUAUGCUUCCCACGGACCAAAACGAAGCUGCAGAAUGUAACAAGCUACCAGAUUUAAAAGCUGCGCAGGAUAAACCCACUAACGUUUCUGGAAAAACAAAGUUUAGAGAAUCAUUACUGAAACAUAAAAUAGAAGCACUGAGUCUGGAGGCAGCUCUGGAGACCGUCUGGUCCAAACAGAGCAGGGCUGGCUGGAGCUGGAGCAAGUUGCCCAGUGCUUCCAACCUGGCGUUGGCCAUCUCUGUGCAACUGCUCCCAUGUUCAAACAAGGUGGUAAUUUAGAAAAGGGUUUUCUUAUGUUUAAAUGGAAGUUCCUGAUUGAUCUUGCUUGUUUGUUUGUUGCAGGAUUUUUUGGUCUCUUUUGUUUUAUUUUCAUCUUUGUCCAUUGCCUCCUGUCCUCUUGCCCCAUUGGGGCAACACUGAGAAGAGCCUGGCUCCAUCUUACUGUAUCAAUACCCAUCAGGUAUUGAUACAUGUGGGUGGGAUCCCCCUGAGCCUUCUCCAGGCUGAGCAGUGCGAGCUGCACUCAGCCUGUCCUUCUAUGAGAGAUCAAAGAAUCACAGAAUCAUUCAGGUUGGAAAAGACCUCCGAGAUCCCCAAGUCCAACCCCAGCCCACCAUGCCCACUGCCCACGUCCCUCAGUGCCACAUCCCAUGGUUCUGGAACACCUCCAGGGACUGUGACCCCCCCCCCACACUCCUUGGGCAGCCUGUACCAGUGCAUUACCAGCGCAUUAGAUGCCCCAAUCCUUUCACAAUCUUUGUGACAAUGAUGUAUACCUAUAUAUGCAUACAAACUCUACGUAUAUCAGUAGAGGAAACGUGCUGGUUGUGUGUCACAGCAGGUCCCUCCAAGGCACGCAGGCAUGGCCAUGGUGCUGCUCCUCCAGCCUUCCCACAAAUGAACUCGUGCUGCAGUUUUCUCUUUUCCCUAAGCUACGAACUGUUUGGACAGCGACAUUAAUAGCGGUCGUGUUAUAAAACUGCAGCAGAUUUAGCUGCAGGCUUUUUUCAAAUUGAGAGCAGUCGGGGCUUUGCACAGAGGAGCUGUUGUCCCGUUAGCCUUGUAUUCCUUAGGGGAAACAACCAUGGUGGUAUUUGCUCCUUAGGAUGCCCAGGACUUACAGCAGGUUCAGUGACCAAAUUACUUUCAUGAUGUUUCUAAUUACCCUUUGGCCCUCAGCUCUGUACAUUGGACGUGCACGCUGCUGUCCCUUGACACCACCCUCCUGGGAGCGAGGGACACCUGAGGAAGCAGAAAACAUUUUUCUACCACGUGACCUAUUUCACCUGUUUCACGAUAACUACCAUUUCUGGUCUGUUUUCUUUUUUCAACGCAGCUAAGAGCAAGCCUCUACUCUGAGAGGAGACACAGAUUCACCGCUGUCAUGUUUCUGAAACAGAAGGCUGCUCUGCGCUAUCCAAUUAAGGACCUUAAUUUAAAUUAAAACCACAACAAAAUAAAAUGCUGCUUACCUUCA